This 549-nucleotide ribosomal RNA is filed under the name Salmonella enterica. RNAcentral's name for it is "partial 23S ribosomal RNA". It matches the Rfam family "Bacterial large subunit ribosomal RNA", at positions 1292 to 1824 of the family's 2925-position model. RNAcentral also lists the same sequence under 1 other name. The record is from RNAcentral. Lineage: Bacteria; Pseudomonadati; Pseudomonadota; Gammaproteobacteria; Enterobacterales; Enterobacteriaceae.
GAAUGCUGACAUAAGUAACGAUAAAGCGGGUGAAAAGCCCGCUCGCCGGAAGACCAAGGGUUCCUGUCCAACGUUAAUCGGGGCAGGGUGAGUCGACCCCUAAGGCGAGGCCGAAAGGCGUAGUCGAUGGGAAACGGGUUAAUAUUCCCGUACUUGGUGUUACUGCGAAGGGGGGACGGAGAAGGCUAUGUUGGCCGGGCGACGGUUGUCCCGGUUUAAGCGUGUAGGUGUGUGUUCCAGGUAAAUCCGGUUCACUUUAACACUGAGGCGUGAUGACGAGGCACUACGGUGCUGAAGCAACAAAUGCCCUGCUUCCAGGAAAAGCCUCUAAGCAUCAGGUAACAUCAAAUCGUACCCCAAACCGACACAGGUGGUCAGGUAGAGAAUACCAAGGCGCUUGAGAGAACUCGGGUGAAGGAACUAGGCAAAAUGGUGCCGUAACUUCGGGAGAAGGCACGCUGACACGUAGGUGAAGUGAUUUACUCAUGGAGCUGAAGUCAGUCGAAGAUACCAGCUGGCUGCAACUGUUUAUUAAAAACACAGCACUGU